This 1282-nucleotide long non-coding RNA is filed under the name Podarcis muralis (Common wall lizard). RNAcentral's name for it is "lncRNA (ENSPMRG00000009752.1)". The record is from RNAcentral. Lineage: Eukaryota; Metazoa; Chordata; Lepidosauria; Squamata; Lacertidae.
UAUGCAAUAUGCACGUGCGCUUGGGCCCAGGGUCUUUUGCCUCACCAUCCCCACUACUGACUCCCUGUUGCUACUCGGCUUCAAAAAAGAAAGUGUCCCCGGAUUUAUUUUUUAAAAAUCUGGUACUGUAACCAUAAUCUAACCCCCACAACAACCCUGUGAAGUAGGUCAGGCCGAGAGAGGCAGCGACUGGCACCCAAGGUGAGCGUCGUAGCUGAGCUGGAGAUUUGAACCCUGGUUGCUCCCAGGUCCUGGUCCAGUGCUCUAACCACUACACCACACUGGCACAUUGGUGGUGGCCCCAGUUGUGCCUCUGCUUACAAUUCCAGGCUGCAAGGCUCUGAGGAGGCGUUUUAAGAUGCAGGAGCUGGUUCACGGAGCCCUGCUCUGCCUCUGUGGGGGACACAGGUCUAAUCUAGUGCUCUUGCGGCCAAACUGUGGUGCUGUGGUUGAGACCUGGGAGAGACCAGGAUUUGAAUCCCCACAUGGCCUGGGUGACAGCCAGUGCCUCUCGGCCUAAUCUGAAACAUUAUGCCGCCUUCAGCUCCUUGGAGGGAAAAAAGCGGGAUGAAAUGCAAUCAAUCUAUCAAUCGGCCCCUCGCACCCCAAAUCUCUCUUACAGCGGAAGGUCCCCGGGAGUCAUGAGAAGGACGUUACUUCUGAGAAACCGGGCGCCGUCUGCCCCAGGACCUCAGCAGAGCCGGCUUUGCAAAGAGUUGCUCCUGCCUCUGAGGUCCUUGUGGAGGAGCUCUCGCAAGCCAUGUUGCGCCUGGGCAUGGGUCUGGAGAAGGAGUAUGCCUAUGACAUCUUCAGGCAGCCUGAUGGUGAGUUGGAGGGGGUGGUGACUAUUGGGAUACUGCCAGGGAGACGGGGGCAUGAGGCAGGUCCCUAGCUGGCUCCGAAUGAUCACCGCUCUCCCGUGGAACAGCAUCAGUCAAUUAGCGACACGAGCCUCAGAUACGUUCCAAGACCCGUGCACACCCUUUCAGCAGGGUGUAUAAAUCUUCCACAAUGGAAGAAGCAGACAGAGAGAGCAUAUUUACAGCUUUAUUCAGCUUAGUUCAGGAACAAAGGAAACAUGACUGCUUGCCUUCAUAUCCAGCAAAACAGCUGCAUAUCAAAGCUACAUGCAAUGGAAGUUCCCAGUGAGAGCUGGAAGUAAACAGGCAUGUGAUACACAAACGUCAUGCCUGUACCCUUUUAAGGUGGAACGGAACUAUAUCCUAACAGUGACUUCCAUCCUGAGGACCAGUGUUGGAAUCCCUGCCUCCCAAGAAAGGCC